RNAcentral lists this long non-coding RNA (2213 nucleotides) under Vitis vinifera (wine grape). Its description in RNAcentral is "long non-coding RNA (VVIN_LNC000107)". The record is from RNAcentral. Lineage: Eukaryota; Viridiplantae; Streptophyta; Magnoliopsida; Vitales; Vitaceae.
GGCCUUAGGUGUACCCCAAAAGUGGAUGAGCCAACUCCAAUCAUCAUCUGAUAAGUGUGGAGGUCGAUGGCACAAUCUCUCCUCAUUUGUAUUAUAAGGGUUAUAAUACUUGGCCUUCAUUUUAUUUCUAUAGCUUCUAAACAAAUUUCCACAACAUUGAAGAAUGUAGCUCUUACAUGUUUAUUCUAGUUCAUAUUUUUCUUGUAUUGCAUUAAAAUCUCAUGUAUAAAUAAGAGGUAUCAUUUUUAAACAAUAACAUUACAAUUUAGAUUGAAUAGUAACUAGCAUAUACCAAUACUAAAGCCCAAAUCUUUUCCUUCACAUCUUCACUAACAUGAUUCCAAUCUUGAACUUGGAUGGGUACAUUGUAUUGAGAUCGCAACAAUGUUCCCAUAUAGCUUGACAAUCUUUCCCCUUUUCCAUCAUAAACAACUUGCCCUCUGGUAUUGAAUCGUGUAGUUUUUUUNNNNNNNNNNNNNNNNNNNNNNNNNNNNNNNNNNNNNNNNNNNNNNNNNNNNNNNNNNNNNNNNNNNNNNNNNNNNNNNNNNNNNNNNNNNNNNNNNNNNUAAUGCAUUUAAAUAAUAUAUGAUAAAGAUAUUAGUUUUAUAUUUAAAUAAUAUAAGAUGGUAAUGAGAUAAAAAUGAAUGUUUUUAUGGUUAUAGGAAUAAAGAAAAAUAAAAUAAAAAAGAUUUCAAUUACUUAAUCAAUAGUAAUCCUAAUUUAAUUCCAAUUAAUAUAAAUCUUUCUUGAAUAUACCAUAAAAAUAUUUAAGUAGUAAAUAAAUACAUGGGUAGAAAGUCUUAUCAUGAGGUGUACCUAUAUAUUAAUUUUAUAUUUAAAUAUUAUAGAAUAUAAUUUUAUAUUUAAUUAAUGUUGCAUUUAAAUAAUAUAUGAUAAAGAUAUUAGUUUUUUAUUUAAAUAAUAUAAGAUGGUAAUGAGAUAAAAAUGAAUGUUUUUAUGAUUAUAGGAAUAAAGAAAAAUAAAAUAAAAAAGAUUUCAAUUACUUAAUCAAUAGUAAUCCUAAUUUAAUUUCAAUUAAUAUUAAUCUUAUUUAUAUCUUUCCUUUCUUGAAUAUACCAUAAAAAGAUUUAAGUAGUAAAUAAAUACAUGGGUAGAAAGUCUUACUUUGGGAUACAUCCAGUCAUGAGGUGUACCCAUAUAUUAAUUUUAUAUUUAAAUAUUAUAGAAUAUAAUUUUAUAUUUAAUUAAUUUUGCAUUUAAAUAAUAUAUGAUAAAGAUAUUAGUUUUAUAUUUAAAUAAUAUAAGAUGGUAAUAAGAUAAAAAUGAAUGUUUUAUGGUUAUAGGAAUAAAGAAAAAUAAAAUAAAAAAGAUUUCAAUUACUAAAUCAAUAGUAAUCCUAAUUUAAUUCCAAUUAAUAUUAAUAUUAUUUAUAUCUUUCCUUUCUUGAAUAUACCAUAAAAAGAUUUAAGUAGUAAUCUGGGAUAGAUAUUAAUUUUAUAUUUAAGAAAUAUAGGAUAUAUUGUAGAGAAUAGAGAUACACAAACAGAUUUUAUAUUUAAGUAGUAAUCUUCAUGAGCUUUACACAAACAAAAAACUUAGAUGUUUACAUCAUUUGGAAGCCCCACUCCGCCUCUCUCUCAGCCCUCAGCCCACACAAACCUUUCUUAUAAUUAUUGUUCAUAGUCAUAGCUACCAAGAAUUCCAAGUUAGGAAGAAAAAAAAAAUCGUAAAUACAGCAAAAAGAACUUCCACUACAUGCUACAGCAGGGGUACCAAAUUAGGGAAAUUAAGAAGUAAACCAUGCCCAAUCAAUUGCUGGGAAAUAUUAUUUGGAUACCAAAUUAGGGAAGCUAUUAAGUGUGGUUUUUGUAGUGUUAAAUCAGAGAGAAAUUUAAUUAUAUUAUGAAUUUCAAAUUUAAUUAUUCUAAGAACAAUGAAUUACUCUAAUAGAAUUUAAUGUAUAAAAACAUUUCAAACACUCACAAUAUAUAUCAUUUUCAAUUUUUCCAAAAGCACCAAAACCCUAUAACAAUGAAAAUAAACCCAAUAACAAUGGAAAUAACCCAAUAACAAUGGAAUCUCAAACCUAAUCACAAAUAUUUCCAAAAUACCAACUAACAAAACCCAAAAAAAAAAAAAAAAAUUCCCAAAACUCACCAAAACCUAGAGAGAUGAUUUUCACGGGAGUUUCUUGGAGGUGGCUUCGGCUUUACUGACCAUAGCUUCCAUGGGGCUUCUUCGGCAUGACUUCC